Molecule: long non-coding RNA, 6208 nt
Organism: Trachemys scripta elegans
Lineage: Eukaryota; Metazoa; Chordata; Testudines; Emydidae
Exons: 3
Source: RefSeq, a predicted model, not a curated record
UUGAAAACAGGAGAGUUUGAGGAAAGAUGGGUGUGGUGGUGUUUUUUUUCUUCUUGACAGGAGUUUAGGAGGAAAAGCUAUGCCAGCUACAGAGGUAGUGAUCUGAAGAAUGGAAGAAACAAUGAAAAAGACUGGAUGUGGAAGCCCCGGGGUGUACAUUAUUUUGGAGAGGAUACCUGAAAGGUGCUUCAUUUGUAUGAAGUACUGCCUGAUAGAGCUGAUGGAAUAGAAGAGAAGAGAUUUGAAUAUGCAGCUAGAAACUAUGAUUGAGUUUCACAGGGGAUUUGAGCGGAUGAUGAAGGGAAGGAGAGAGGAGGCUGAAGGGAAACCUCAAACUUGCAGAUGCAUGUGCUGUUCAGGAAAGACAGAAAUAAAGGAGGACGUAUCGGACUUGCUCGGAACCGGCUAGUUCAUGGGUUUGAAUCCAUGAAGGAAUGAGGCUGUGAGGUGGAGCUUUUGGAGCUGGGGGUGAAGAACCCAUCCAUUGUCCUGGGAAAGGUGAUCUCGCCUGUUGGGGAAAGCCUGUGGAUGAUGGGAGGACAUACAGAGUAGAGAUCAGGAAAGAAAAGGCAGCACUGCCCUAAGUCCCAUCUUCAGCCGAGGACGGUUGAGAAGGAACUGAGGAGGGUGCGGGACGCAUGCACUCAGGAAGAUUCCAACGAGACGGGAGAUACCAACUGAGUGUGUGCAUCCCGACCAGGCACUGCUACUGAAAAUCUCCGACCAACGGCUCUGGGAUGCACCAUCCCCUAGAGUGGAGCACCCACAGGGACAGCACUUGAAGAAGAAGGGUACUUGCUGAUAACAAUAUAACUGCAGUAUGCAGUAAUAACUCUGCAUGUGAAUCUCCCGAGUCAGUAGUGCUGGGUCCUCAGCACCAUACUCAAUUAACCAGAUCAGGGAUACUCACGAUGAUUAUACUGGAGCACCAAACCACCAUGGUGCUGAAUCCUUGGCACUGGACAAGGUUGAUUUAGAUGUAUUUAUGACCUUAUUACCAGUUAUUUUGAUCAUCAAACUCCAUCAUUUGCAGUUCAGAGUCAACAGGACCAGAAUUCAUCAGACAGAGGAGACCAGGAACCUGGACUCUGUUUAAGCAAGACAUAGAGCCAUUUUGAAGAGCCAAUCUCAAAAGUUAAUGCUGGACGUACAUCACCAGACUUAUUCAACUGGACCUUAUCGGCCAACAUGUCAGUAAAGGUGUAUUAGGUGGUCUGCCCAUUUCUACAAGUCAAUCUCCAAAGACAAUGCUGGAUUUACACAUUUAUGACUGGGCUUAAGGAGCGUUCUGGUCAGUAGGAGUGUGGCAACCAUUCUGUUCCAUGCAGAUCCUCAUGAUGCCCAUGCUGAACAGGCUCUUUUUCUCCUUUCUGAAAUUAAGGAAAGGCGAGUAACUGACCAAAAAAAACCCCAAACCAAACCACCUGUUGAGAAACGUGUCAAGGACACUGCAUACAAUGUGAGCUUUCUGCACGAUAUCUAUUAAGAAGGAACUGAAGGGCAACUAUGGCCAGAGUGGUUUUAUGACCUUAGAAUCUUCUAUGACGGAGGAGGGGAAGGGGUUGGUGAAUGGUCCGAACUGACACCGCUUGUCAACUGAUUCCAGGCACCAAUCCCAAAAAUGGGACCAUGCAGUGGCAACACUUUCAAAGAACAACUGGUUAACUUUCCUGAAGUCUUGGGAACAAGACAAGUAAAAUAUCUGAAAUCUUUUAACAGCUAAAAGAAUGUAAACACUUGUCCUGAGGAAAAAAGGUAGCUAAAACAAUUAAGAUGUAACUCAGCGUCCACUGUGGGAAUAAGCUCCAAAGGAAGCCAGAGUUCACAGUUUAUUGGACAAAAACUGGAAGGAAGAGAAAUAACCAAAGAACUUAAUUCUCCAGUCCUCCUUUCUGAAAUAACUAUAAACAAAGUCACUUUCAGAGUCAGGAAUAUGAAACCUGGCUUAUAGAAUCAAUAGGAGGUUCUGUGCUAAGGAGCAUUUUGGAGUGAUAGGAUUAAGUAAAGGUCUCUGUGAGAGAAGGAAAUGGAAAAGCUAUUUGAAAUAAGCUAAAAUCUAUGUCAGUAAUAGGGCCCUCAAAGGCCAAAAUAGCAGAAUCUUAUACCCAGAGUACUCUGAUUUAAAGCCCCCUCAAAUCCUGCUAAUAUAAAAAUCCAAAAUAUUCUUUAUAGAAGAGGAACAGUGCAUGAUGUUUUGAUCAGAAGCACAACCAUAGAAAGACCCAUCAUGUUAGUGGAAGGUUUCCUAUUCAAGAAGACAAUCUGCAACCUCCACGGCAGUCUUUUCUUGGAACCAGCACUACUCAAUUUCCAUAUUAAUCUCAAGUGACUGGAUUAGGCCUGGAACGACGAACUCCAAGAUAAAAGGUUGGAUGUCUUGAGAAGUGGCCAGCAUGGAGGUUAAUUAAAUAGGAGAAUAAAGGGCCAUGUGCCUCUAAGAAGCUAAAAUAAUCAUCACUGUCUUGCCUGCUAUUUCAGUGACAUUUUGAGUGGAGAGAGAUCAGGGAAGGCAAGAUGUCGCUUCAUGCUCCAGUCCCAGAAUUUUGGGUUUGGUAUUUCUCUAGCAGAAACAAGAAAGUUUGGCAUUUGUCAGACUGAGUUGAAAUUAAAUUUUAACUAUAUUUAACUGAAAAACCUGAAUACUGGGGCUCCUCUCCCAGGCAACUAACUGCUGAUGACUGAGCUAGUCUGCAAGAGAGUUGUCUUUCUUCCACUGUUAUUUGGAGGGAAAGCAAAUGAGACUACAUCCAGGAGAAGAGACUCUAAAAGGGAAACCCAAUUCCAAGAGUUGUAAGUUUGCAUAAAAGCAGGUACAGAGUUUGCCUGAGCACCUAAGAGAUUGUUGGAAGCCCAGAUAGAGUGAGAAUAGAGUGAGCAGAAUUGAUGCUAGUGGCAAGGACUGUACCAGUCCGGAGAAGAAAGGAACUACUGUAGUGCUAGAAGUGCUACUAUGCAGGGGAGGGUGAGGUGAGGAGAAGAGAAUUCCCAAAAUGCUGAGCUUACCAGCAAUCUGGGAUGAUGGGUAUGGCUGACAGGCAAGGAACAUAACUAAGCUGCAUCUGCAAAUACCAACAGUUUGGCAGGAGAGACAGAGAGGGGGAGCUUAUUGGGAAAUGCCUGCUGUCUCCAGGUUGGACAAAUAGUGGCAAUAAUGCUGAGGGAAGAGGGCCCAGUGAAACCCACUUCCUAUACAUAUGAAGUCAGAUUUCUAGGAUGGCCAGUAUCAGGUCCAUGAGAUGUGGAGAUAGCUGGAUCCAGAGGUCUCUCCUGAGAUGCAGGAGCAGCUUUGCUGUCAGCAAGGGGUUCAAUGGCAGAGCUUAAAGCUCUGUCAUCCGCAUCCUCUCUGCAAGAAAUUCCCCUGAACCACUGGGGAGGGGAUAACCAAAGCCUUGAUCUUCUCCAAUAUGUUCCUCUUCUUCUUCUCCUCCCUGUGGGGCCUAGUAAGGAGCGGAGAAAAGGGUUUAGAAGAAAUAGAGGAGGAAGGAACAGUGCAGAAGGAUUCCUUGCUUAUUUGAUGGUAAAGAAGAUAAAAUGAUCUGGGAGCGAUCUGACUGGUGUUCUAACUCAAAAAUCUUUCCCUCCUUGCUUCCUAGCAUGUGGAACUGUAAUACCAUCUGUCCUUUACUCAGCAUUGCCAAAUCUAAGAGAUCAAAAUUCAUGAGUUAUGCCCUGAAAAAUCAUGAGAUUUUAAAAAAUAAUACAUUUUGAUCUUGUUAUUUGCCUUCUGGAUUUUGAGCUGUAAGGUUCAUGUUUUCAAGCAUUUCUCCACAACCACGAGGGCUAGAAACUCACUUUAAUUUUAAACUGAAAUUCUCAUAUAAUAUUAUUAUUACCUAGCUCUUACAAAGUAAUCAAAUAUAAUCAAAAUAGUCCAAGAGUUGGAGCUUUAAAGAAAAACACCAAAUAUAGCAACAUAGUGAUAAAACACGAUUUCCUGCCUCUUCUAAGGAUGGUGUUAAAGAGAUGUACAGUCAUCUAUGCACACCCCCUUCCAUGGCUUCUCAACUUACUGGCACAGUUUUAUUCAGCAGAGUAAAAUUCACCAACUGUCUUAAGCAGUUUAAUAAUCUAAUAUGAUCCCAUGUUGCCCCUCACACCAGUUCCCUUCCCCCCCGACCCCUCAAAUCCCCUUUGACUUUAUCUUUCCUUUUCCUACCUUUCUUCCAUUGAUACCCAAUACCCAAAGUGAAGCUAAAGUAGAUUUAGCUACUAUGAAACAGCUCUGAAAUGUUGCAGUUUGGUGCUACAUUUAUCGUUUUAUCUUUACUUUUAAGUUGAACACUCAUUAGGACUCAAAUUGACAGUUCAUUAAACAUACUUCAUAUUAAUGCAAUAAACUCCAUAUCAACAAAUGUUAAGACUGUGACAAUUACUUCAUUAAGUCAGGGUUCUUCCUACACUGAACUGUAAUUUUAAGUAUGCAAUUAGGUGCACAAUGAAUAUUAAGAAAGAGUGUUAACCAGCUGAUCUUGCAUUUGCACAGGAUCUUUCAUCUGAAAGAAUCCCAAAGCCUUCACAAACAGCAGCAAGGAUCUCUAUCAAUCAUGAAAACUAUCUCAGGUGAAAACAGCAGUUGUUUAUAAAUACACAAAAGUUUAGAACAAAAAGCAAAGAACAUCUUUCCAACUGAAACUACAGGAAAAUGAAUUUAGGUACAGAGAAUCUAAUUAAUUAAGUAGGAAUUAGGCUAGGACACAAGGUAAACACAUCUAGGAUAUGUCCACACAGCACUAGACACUACGGCUGUACCAUGUCUGCUGACUUUGGCUCAUGGGAUUUGGGCUGUGGGGCUGUUUCAUUGCUGUGUAGACUUCCAGGCUCAGGCUGGGCCCAGUCUCUAGGACUCUGAGGUGGGAAGGUCUCAGAUCUUGGGCUGCAGCCCAAGCCCAGAAGUCUACACAGCAGCCCAAGACUCGCAAGCCUGAGUAAGUGGGCAUGGGCCAGUUUGUGGGUUUCUCUUUGCUGUAUAGACAUAUCAUGCAAUCUUCAUUGACCACAACAGUCAGAACCUUGCUAUUGCAUCUUACCCAUCAGCACAGUGGUCUAACCUCUGUCUUAAUUAAGAUACUGAUUAAGAGGCAAGAGUGUCACCUACUGAAUGAUCAUCACCUCUCCCAGUAGUACCUGCUUACUGAAUGACAGCACAAGGUUAUAUAGUGUCAGACUAUUCACUAAUUUACAUAAUAUGGGCUUGUCUAUAUAGGCAGUGCACAAUAAGAUGGGUGCAAAUCUAUAGUGUACUAUCUAUAGUGUACUAGCCUGCCAUACAUUUACUGGCCAUGUGGACACAGCUACCACUCACUAAAAGUUCCACAGUCCACUUUGAUCUACUACCAUUUUAAAGCAGAGUGCAUUAUGGAACUUUUAGUGAGCGGUAGCUGGGUCCACACAUGCGGCCAGGUAGUGUGCUGUAGAUUUACACUUCAGUUACAGUGCACUACUGUUCAUACAGUCAAGACCGAAGGGGAAAAAAAAAAAGAAGAGUUCAGCACUUUGCAAAAAUGGGUGGAACUACAAAUCUAAGAAUUCAAAUGAAAUAUUCAAGGCAUAUUUGCAAUUCAAUUUCCAUUCAAGCUGGGACUUUAAAAGACUCAGAGACUGACAGUAUAAACACACCUUUUUUUUAAAAUAGACUUUAAAAAAAAUUAUUUGCCAAUGCCUCUCAAAGGCUCUUUAAGAAAACUGGACAGAUAUGUAGAAUACAAUAAACCAAACCAAACGAGUUUGCAAAGCUUAUUUAUCUUCCAUCUUAAAAUCCAGUUUGUGGCCAAAAUAUCAGUACUUUCAAAUGGAAAAUAAAUAAGCAUCACCAACUUAUUUGGUCUGCAUUUUGGUGCACAGUGAACCAUACUCCAGGAAUCUGAACUUUAUGCCACUGUAACCCAUGAUUAAAAGAAUGUGACUUAAAAUAUUAUUGUAAAUUAUAGCAGAAAUGUCUGUAAUCACCAUUUAAUUGCUAAAAUACUUUGAAAAGUUGUAUUUAGAAGAAGGACCCUUACAAAGAAAAAAAAAAAUAACCCCAAAGGGAAACUGUACUUUGUAUGUUGGUUCUAGGUAAACAUAUGAUAAAGAGGCCAUAUUUAUCUAUGUAAAAUAGAUUUAGCAAGUUAAAUACAGAAGCUGCCUGUAAUGGAAAAAGUCUCAUGAUUUACAGCAUUUUAAGCAACAGGCAUAUUCAACACAACAUCAACUCAUAAAAAAAAAAAAA